RNAcentral lists this unclassified non-coding RNA (737 nucleotides) under Hevea brasiliensis (rubber tree). Lineage: Eukaryota; Viridiplantae; Streptophyta; Magnoliopsida; Malpighiales; Euphorbiaceae. The record is from RNAcentral.
AGCUAGAGGGAUGCUGAGGAUUUGGGUGCUCCUUGCUUGCAUUUGGGUAUUCAAUCCAAGCUCUGUCAAUGGGAAUACAAACCCAAAUGAUGUUACUGCACUGAAUGGCUUGUAUACCAGUCUGAGCUCACCGGGCCAGCUAAAUGGUUGGACAGCCAGCGGCGGAGAUCCCUGCGGGCAGUCGUGGAGAGGCGUAAUUUGCUCCGACUCGUCGGUGACGGCGAUUAAAUUGUCGGGGAUGGGGCUUUCCGGGACUUUAGGCUAUCAGCUGAAUAGCCUGAGUUCGAUACUCGAGAUUGAUUUGAGCAAUAAUAAUAUUGGAUCGAACAUAAAUUAUAACCUUCCUACGACUCUCGAACGGCUAAAUCUUGCCGGGAACUCGUUGAAUGGAUCUAUCCCGUAUUCGAUUUCUCAGAUGACUCCGCUUCAAUACUUGAAUCUUGCUCGAAAUCAGCUAAACGGGAACUUAAAUAUCGACUUUGGACAACUUGCUAAUCUCUCAUUUGUGGAUCUUUCCUCGAAUACUCUUUCAGGCCCCCUCCCAGACAGCAUGAAAUCCUUGUCAAGUUUGACAACCUUGUAUUUGCAAAACAACCAAUUUUCAGGUCCCAUUGACGACCUUGCUAGUCUCCCUCUUCAAGACUUGAAUGUCGCAAACAAUCAAUUCACUGGAUGGAUUCCUGACCAAUUAAAGAAAAUAAAUAGUCUUCAGACUGAUGGCAACCAGUGGAGCUCGG